Molecule: unclassified non-coding RNA, 240 nt
Filed under: soil metagenome
Description: partial contains 5.8S ribosomal RNA, internal transcribed spacer 2, and large subunit ribosomal RNA
Source: RNAcentral
AAGACUAUAGACCUGCGGAGUACCUGCGGAGGGAUCAUUAUUGAAUUAUGUUUCUAAAUGGGUUGUAGCUGGCUCGUCAGAGCAUGUGCACGCCUGUUUGGACUUCAUUUUCAUCCACCUGUGCACCUAUUGUUGUCUUUGGUUGGGUAUCAAGGAAGUGGUCAGCCUAUCAGCACUUGCUGGAUGUGAGGACUUGCAGUGUGAAAGCUUUGCUGUCCUUUACUUGAUCAUGGAGUUGUU